UAUAUAUGAACUGGUUAGGACUAUUAAGGGUAGAGUGCGGAUAGGACAUGUAAUAUUAAAGCUACCGUCACUUAAGAUGUUUAGUAAUGUUAACCUCAGACACUUUCACUCCCUCACGUAUACAAAUGCAAUAGUUUACAUAUAUAUGAACUGGUUAGGACUAUUAAGGGUAGAGUGCGGAUAGGACAUGUAAUAUUAAAGCUACCGUCACUUAACAUGUUUAGUAAUGUUAACCUCAGACACUUUCACUCCCUCACGUAUACAAAUGCAAUAGUUUACAUAUAUAUGAACUGGUUAGGACUAUUAAGGGUAGAGUGCGGAUAGGACAUGUAAUAUUAAAGCUACACGUCACUUAACAUGUUUAGUAAUGUUAACCUCAGACACUUUCACUCCCUCACGUAUACAAAUGCAAUAGUUUACAUAUAUAUGAACUGGUUAGGACUAUUAAGGGUAGAGUGCGGAUAGGACAUGUAAUAUUAAAGCUACACGUCACUUAACAUGUUUAGUAAUGUUAACCUCAGACACUUUCACUCCCUCACGUAUAGUAAUGAAAUAAUUGGAAAAACUUAAUUUGAAAAUAAUUUUAAUACACCUAAAACGCCUUCAUUGUUGUUUUUUUCGUUAUUUACUUGUUUUACUUCGUUAAAAAUUAAAUGGGUAUACACUUUACAAAAGGAAGUCAAGAACGAUUGGUGUGUAUUAAUCACAUAUUUAAAAUGAGGAAUAUAUAAUUUAAUCAUUACUAACAAACUACUAAAGUUUAUUAUUUGACAAUGGAAGGAUUGUGAAGGAACUAGGAUUUUUCCGGACAUUUGUCAUCGUUCAGCGAUACAAAAAAAACCAUCAAUGAUUUUGUUUGUAUCGCUGAACUACUUAAGAUAUAGUGGCCUUAAGAACGGUAGAGUUAGUCGGAUGUUUUUUAUCUCAGUCAAAUGAUGAUAGAAACUGUAAUUUAUUAAUAUACUUGUUAUUAAUGAAUUCACAGACGUUCUUGGGAUUAGUACAUUUUACAGUACAGUCUCGUUUAUCCGGACCUCAUUUAUCAGGAUCUCCGAGUUAUCUUUAUUAAUUUUACAAAGUGGAGGGAUCCAAUUGUAUAUACAUUUUGUAUGUAAUAUAUUUUUGAUAUACACAUGACAUAUUGAUAGACAAAGUGUCCCAUUCAAUAUGUCAGUAUACGAAUAUAUGUGUGAAAUACAAUAAUUAAUCACCGAAAACGAUUGAAUAGUUUAUUCAGUGGAUUCCUCUUUUUAUUCAACCAUUGGAACCAUUUUAGUGUCGUUCCAAGACCAACUCUCGUAGCUUAUGUAGCACAGUAACUGUUUACAAUAUAUCAUAACACUUGUUGCUGUGCAGUAUAAUGUCUCAUGACACUUGUUGCUGUGCAGUAUAAUGUCUCAUGACACUUGUCGCUGUGCAGUGUAAUGUCUCAUGACACUUGUCGCUGUGCAGUGUAAUGUCUCAUGACACUUGUCGCUGUGCAGUGUAAUAUCUCAUGACCCUUGUCGCUGUGCAGUGUAAUGUCUCAUGACACUUUUCGCUGUGCAGUGUAAUGUCUCAUGACACUUGUCGCUGUGCAGUGUAAUGUCUCAUGACACUUGUCGCUGUGCAGUGUAGUGUCUCGUGACACUUGUCGCUGUGCAGUGUAAUGUCUCGUGACACUUGUCGCUGUGCAGUGUAAUGUCUCAUGGCACUUGUCGCUGUGCAGUGUAAUGUCUCAUGGCACUUGUCGCUGUGCAGUGUAAUGUCUCAUGACACUUUUCGCUGUGCAGUGUAAUGUCUCGUGACACUUGUCGCUGUGCAGUGUAAUGUCUCAUGGCACUUGUCGCUGUGCAGUGUAAUGUCUCAUGACACUUUUCGCUGUGCAGUGUAAUGUCUCAUGACACUUUUCGCUGUGCAGUGUAAUGUCUCAUGACACUUGUCGCUGUGCAGUGUAAUGUCUCAUGACACUUGUCGCUGUGCAGUGUAAUGUCUCGUGACACUUGUCGCUGUACAGUAUAAUGGCUCAUGACACUUGUCGCUGUGCAGUGUAAUGUCUCAUGACACUUGUCGCUGUGAAGUGUAAUGUCUCAUGACACUUGUCGCUGUGCAGUAUAAUGUCUCAUGACACUUGUCGCUGUGCAGUGUAAUGUCUUGUGACACUUGUCGCUGUGCAGUGUAAUGUCUCGUGACACUUGUCGUUGUGCAGUGUAAUGUCUCGUGACACUUGUCGCUGUGCAGUGUAAUGUCUCAUGACACUUGUCGCUGUGCAGUGUAAUGUCUCGUGACACUUGUCGCUGUGCAGUAUAAUGUCUCAUGAUACUUGUCACUGUGCAGUAUAAUGUCUCAUGACACUUGUUGCUGUGCAGUAUAAUGUCUCAUGACACUUGUUGCUGUACAGUAUAAUGGCUCAUGACACUUGUCGCUGUACAGUAUAAUGUCUCAUGAUACUUGUCACUGUACAGUAUAAUGUCUCAUGAUACUUGUCGCUGUGCAGGAGACUUGACAGCGCCUGUGAAACACUCCUGCGACCGCUGUGGACGCUGCUACUCCCUGGUCGGCAAUCUCAGGUCACACCAAGCCAGAGAAUGCGGUAAAGAACCCACCCUCCUGUGCCGCAUCUGCCCGUACCGCACACACCGCAGCAACAAUCUCAAGCGCCAUUACGCGACCAGGCACUGUGUCAUAUAGCGCAUGUAGGGGACUACGUCAGCAGUGACUCAGCAGCCCCUAGUAAGUACAGCUGCAGUGGAUGCGGCCGCGACUACUCGCUGCUGGCCAGUCUGAAGCAGCACCAGGCCCGGGAGUGUGGGAAGGAACCUCCCCUCAGUUGUCACAUGUGCACCUAUCGCACUCACCGCAGCAGCAAUCUCAAGCGGACACUACGCCGCUAGACACAGCAUUGUCUAGGUAUAGACAGUUCAAAGUUGUCCUCUCUGAAUGGCCAUUGCCAUUACUCAGAACAGAUUGUGUUGUCACUUUUUGGAACAGAAAAAAUCUCCAAAAUCGCAUUUUGUUGGAUGCCCGCAUCACCUGGAAAAUUAUAUAUUUAAUUUAAUAUAGACUUUGUGGAAUUGA
RNAcentral lists this long non-coding RNA (3057 nucleotides) under Homalodisca vitripennis (glassy-winged sharpshooter). RNAcentral describes it as "uncharacterized LOC124356154". Lineage: Eukaryota; Metazoa; Arthropoda; Insecta; Hemiptera; Cicadellidae. The record is from RNAcentral.